RNAcentral lists this ribosomal RNA (429 nucleotides) under Pseudomonadota bacterium. RNAcentral describes it as "Proteobacteria bacterium partial 16S ribosomal RNA". It matches the Rfam family "Bacterial small subunit ribosomal RNA", at positions 355 to 776 of the family's 1533-position model. The record is from RNAcentral. Lineage: Bacteria; Pseudomonadati; Pseudomonadota.
UGGGGAAUAUUGGACAAUGGGCGAAAGCCUGAUCCAGCCAUGCCGCGUGUGUGAAGAAGGUCUUCGGAUUGUAAAGCACUUUAAGUUGGGAGGAAGGGCAGUAAGCGAAUACCUUGCUGUUUUGACGUUACCGACAGAAUAAGCACCGGCUAACUCUGUGCCAGCAGCCGCGGUAAUACAGAGGGUGCAAGCGUUAAUCGGAAUUACUGGGCGUAAAGCGCGCGUAGGUGGUUCGUUAAGUUGAAUGUGAAAGCCCCGGGCUCAACCUGGGAACUGCAUCCAAAACUGGCGAGCUAGAGUAGGGCAGAGGGUGGUGGAAUUUCCUGUGUAGCGGUGAAAUGCGUAGAGAUCUGGAGGAAUACCGAUGGCGAAGGCAGCCAUCUGGCCUAACACUGACGCUGAGGUACGAAAGCAUGGGGAGCAAACAGG